RNAcentral lists this microRNA precursor (103 nucleotides) under Marmota monax (woodchuck). The record is from RNAcentral. Lineage: Eukaryota; Metazoa; Chordata; Mammalia; Rodentia; Sciuridae.
AGUGGGAUAGCUGGAUCAAAUGGUUGUUACAUUCCAAGUUUUCUGAGGAAUCUCCAUACUGCUUUUCAUAAUUGUUGCACCAAUUUAUAGUCCCAUCAGCAAU